RNAcentral lists this ribosomal RNA (301 nucleotides) under uncultured bacterium. RNAcentral's name for it is "partial 16S ribosomal RNA". It matches the Rfam family "Bacterial small subunit ribosomal RNA", at positions 509 to 807 of the family's 1533-position model. The record is from RNAcentral.
CAGCCGCCGCGGUAAUACGUAAGUGGCAAGCGUUGUCCGGAAUUAUUGGGCGUAAAGCGCGCGCAGGUGGUUUAAUAAGUCUGAUGUGAAAACCCACGGCUCAACCGUGGAGGGUCAUUGGAAACUGUUAAACUUGAGUGCAGGAGAGAAAAGUGGAAUUCCUAGUGUAGCGGUGAAAUGCGUAGAGAUUAGGAGGAACACCAGUGGCGAAGGUGGCUCACUGGUCCAUUACUGACGCUGAGGUGCGAAAGCGUGGGGAGCAAACAGGAUUAGAUACCCCGGUAGUCCCUGUCUCUUAUAC